AAAACAGAAACAGACCCCUCGCCACAGAGCAGCUGAAAAAGAGUGGAAGGGGGUGCCGUAGGUGUAGUAGCCUCCAGAUUGGGGAGCCAGGCCAAUCAGGGUAGGGUGGGGCGUUGAAAUUGUCAAGGUUCUGUCCAGAAUCAGAGACUUUAGGGAUCCUUCAUGUUGCUGAGUAAGGUGAACCAUGGAACCCAGGAAAGAAAUGCAAAAUUCAGUGGCUGCCAUUAGUUAAAAUAACCAGCAAUUACAUAAUUGAGUGAUGAAGUCACUGGUGCUUAUGUCAAAAUACAAAUAUUAGCAAUUAAUGAUUCAUCAUUGUUGGAAUGCUAUGUGAUAGUAAGGACUGAAUCAUAGAGGGAUGUGUUCCGUAACACUCUCCUUCCUGGUGUGAGAUGCCCUCUCCAUCCCCCGGAUCUAACACUCUGCUUCCUGGUGUGAGAUCCCUCUCUGUCCCCCAGAUCUAACACGCUGCUUCCUGGUGUGAGAUGCCCUUUCCAUCCCCCGGAUCUAACACUCUCCUUCCUUGUGUGAGAUCCCUCUCCUUCCCCUGGAUCUAACACUCUGCUUCCUGGUGUGAGAUGCCCUCUCCGUCCCCCGGAUCUAACACUCUCCGUCCCCCGGAUCUAACACUCUCCGUCCCCCGGAUCUAACACUCUCCUUCCUGGUGUGAGAUGCUCUUUCCGUCCCCCGGAUCUAACACUCUCCUUCCUGGUGUGAGAUGCUCUUUCCGUCCCCCGGAUCUAACUCUCUCCUUCCUGGUGUGAGAUGCUCUUUCCGUCCCCCGGAUCUAACACUCUCCUUCCUGGUGUGAGAUGCUCUUUCCGUCCCCCAGAUCUAACUCUCUCCUUCCUGGUGUGACUCCCUCUCUGUCCCCCGGAUCUAAUGCUCUCCUUCCUGGUGUGAGAUGCCUUCACCAUCUCCCAGAUGUAAGAGUCUUAUUCUUGGCUCCUGCGGGCCAACAUCCCCGUUAUCCAGUUCUGUAUCACCACUGUGUCCCUCAACAGCCUGAUCUAGGUGUCUGCUGGCCUCACCGGGUCCAUCUUCUGCACUAACCCAAUGGAGGACCACUGGAUGAAGGUGGUGCAGAUCUUCAUCAUGCAGCAUCUCCCCCCCAGUCCGCACAGCUGCUGGCUCUUCCUCUUCCAAGCCGCAGUUGUGCCGGUCUCCUGGCAGCUUCCACUUUCGGUCCAAACCAGCUGAACUUGCUCACUGACAGGCAGGAAUGUGAGGCGGGAGGAUUCUGGAUCUGCUGCCACGUGAACACCCCUCCCCCAAGCCGCAAUUCUGUACAGUAUCCACGGAAAAGCUGACAUCAUCCGGAAAGACUCGCUGCUGCUCCUGCCCCCCAGUCAAGAAAAGACCCAGCCACCCAAAAUCCCUCAGGACAUACCAUGGUAAAUGGGUCACACAGGAGGCUGGAUGGAUGCGAUGCAAACUGUCCUUGUGUGGAACACACAUCAUACCUACUAAUCCAUAGUACUGCGGAAAAUCGUUAGCAGAAAGUGAGGUUUAAAUGAACUUUUUGGUGUAAAACCGUUACCCUGGUAUUUGCAGCGACCAUCUGAUAUACCCAUGUCUUUUUUGACUCAUUUAACUAAUUAAGUUCAUUAUUUGAGCUGGUUUUGAAGUUUAACAUGGAAUGGCUGGGGUGCCCCUGAGGAGAGGUUUGGGAACCCAAGCGGUGUUCAUCUAGCCAUCCAACAAAAUAUCUGUAACUUUUUGGAUAACAGAAGAAAUACUUGUUAGCUUUUGUUGUAUUACUCUUAUUCUACAUGUGUUCUAAUGUUAAAUUGUGUUUUUUUUCUGAGCUAAUAUGCACUUACUACCCAGAUAAAUAGCUUUAACCACAACAGGUGGCUGCCCUUUGCAGCCAGCUUACUCUGCA
Molecule: long non-coding RNA, 1885 nt
Organism: Brienomyrus brachyistius
Lineage: Eukaryota; Metazoa; Chordata; Actinopteri; Osteoglossiformes; Mormyridae
Exons: 3
Source: RefSeq, a predicted model, not a curated record